UAACGCGUGGGUAACCUGCCUCAUACAGGGGGAUAGCAGCUGGAAACGGCUGAUAAAACCGCAUAAGCGCACAGCAUCGCAUGAUGCAGUGUGAAAAACUCCGGUGGUAUGAGAUGGACCCGCGUCUGAUUAGCUAGUUGGUGAGGUAACGGCCCACCAAGGCGACGAUCAGUAGCCGGCCCGAGAGGGUGACCGGCCACAUUGGGACUGAGACACGGCCCAA
Molecule: ribosomal RNA, 223 nt
Filed under: uncultured bacterium
Lineage: Bacteria
Description: partial 16S ribosomal RNA
Rfam family: Bacterial small subunit ribosomal RNA
Source: RNAcentral